AUGCGGUUAGGCUCAGAAAAACAAGCAGUCUGCUGACACGUGGUAGCCUGAUCCAAUCACAGUGCUUCCCCAUAGGAUUGGCUGAGACUGAAAGGCAGAGCCAGCCCAAUUCAAACACAGCUCUGGCCAAUCAGCAUCUCCUCAGAGAUGGAUUGAAUCUCUAGGAGGAAAGUUCAGUGUCUGCAUGCAGAGGGAGGAGAUACUGAAUCACAGUGCUCUGUUGACAGAUCUGAGUGGAUGGAAGCAUAUUAUGCCUCCAUCAACUCCGAAGUGCCUCUGGUUCACUCUGAGUGACUGCAACAGGAGGUGUUCAUAGCUUUCAAUGUAAACACUAUUUUCUCAGAAAAUACAGUUUUUACAUGAGAAAGGCUGCAGGGAGCUAUAGUUCUCACUCGAACAACCUCAUUAAGCUGAAGUUGUUCAGGUGACUAUAGUGUUCCUUUAAGACAGCAGCAGCACUGCCAAUGUAAUUAAUCUGAAACAGAAUACACGUGCAUCACAGACAGUGGAUAGGAAGAAAUGCUAAAAUUAGGAGUGUAACGCUCUGUUGUAGGAAGCAGUACUCCCAACAUCAUAGGAAAGGUGAAACUCCC
This is a non-coding RNA of Pelobates cultripes (western spadefoot toad), 593 nucleotides long. NCBI's taxonomy places the organism in Eukaryota, Metazoa, Chordata, Amphibia, Anura, Pelobatidae. The record is from the annotation of a GenBank genome assembly.